This 126-nucleotide non-coding RNA is filed under the name Mucochytrium quahogii. The record is from RNAcentral. Lineage: Eukaryota; Bigyra; Thraustochytrida; Thraustochytriidae.
UGAUGAUAGAUAGAUAGAUAGAUCCAUAGAUCUAUAACUCAAGUCUCGUCGUAUUUCAAUACAUUUGAUGUAUCCACCCUGCAAGGAAUGGUCGUCAAGCGAUUUUUUGCAAUUUUUUGUAAUUUU